Marmota monax (woodchuck) is the source of this 1134-nucleotide long non-coding RNA. RefSeq lists it as uncharacterized. NCBI's taxonomy places the organism in Eukaryota, Metazoa, Chordata, Mammalia, Rodentia, Sciuridae. The transcript has 2 exons. The record is from RefSeq and is a predicted model, not a curated record.
UCAGUUCAAAGGAAUCCUCCUCUUUUACUAACCAAACACUCCUACUCAACUUGUUCCCCCCAGUGAAUGUGCUAAUCAAUGUUAAUUGUUGUUUGACUUUCCCUCGGUGUGAAAUGAUUUUCUAUAUGAUGUUAUGACACAUAGAGUAUCCCCCAAAACCUAUAAAAUCUCAUUGAACAAAGGACCGGGACUCACUCCUCAGGACCGCUGUGUCGGGAACGGUUGUUGAGUCCAGGCUUGCAAUAGAGACUCUUGUGUGAUUGCAUCGGAUUCGGCUCCUGGAGGUCUAUUGGGGUCCCAUGAAUCUGGCAUUACAGGGGCAGUACCAGAGAUUGAACUCAGGGCACUCAACCACCGAGCCACAUCCCAAGCCUUAUUUUGUAUUUUAUUUAGAGUUGCUUAGCGCCCUGCUUUUGUUGAGGCUGGCUUUGAAAUCGUGAUUCUCCUGCCUCAGCCUCCUGAGCUGCUGGGUCUCCCAGACUUCUUACGUGGUAGUGUUCAUGCCUCAAUUCCUGGAUCUUUUCUUUUUCUGUCCCUAGGUGAUCUCAUACAGUUUCAUGGUUCCCCACCAGAUUUAAAUAGUUUCUUCAAAGACCAUGUUUGUGUUGACAACUUCAAAUUACUAUUUCUAGAUCAGACCACUCCCUGGAAUUCCAGACUUGUACUUCCAAUGUCUGGAUUCAUCCAAGGUACCACAUUAUGUAUAUUUGUCCAGUGUCUUUGGAUUCUUCUUGCCUGUGACAGUUUUACAAAGUUUCCUUGAUUUUUCUGACCUUGAUAAUUUAGAGGAGUACUGGUCAAACACUUUAUAGGAUGUCCUCUUUUGGAAUUUGGUGUUUUCCUAGUGAUUAGCCAUCUGUGGGCUGUGUGUGGACUAUGUUGCUAGUAUCCUCCUGAGGAGAUAAGUCUGGCCCUGGGACCUUCCUGAGCAACCCCCAUAGGCAUUGACUGCCUGAAGCAGGUGAACUUCCCCUUCAAGCUCUGCCUAAGAUUCUACACAACACCUGAGAUGAGUGUGACUUGCCGAGAUGUCAAUCAACCUGCUGACUGCAAGACAUCACUGAAGCAAGACUCACCCUUGAAAACUUAUCCCUGCCUUUGAUGUACCCCCUUAAAUAAACCACCAGAGCCAUU